This 591-nucleotide unclassified non-coding RNA is filed under the name Aspergillus flavus. Its description in RNAcentral is "sequence contains 18S rRNA gene, ITS1, 5.8S rRNA gene, ITS2, 28S rRNA gene". The stretch from base 226 to 379 matches the Rfam family "5.8S ribosomal RNA". Lineage: Eukaryota; Fungi; Ascomycota; Eurotiomycetes; Eurotiales; Aspergillaceae. The record is from RNAcentral.
UCGUAACAAGGUUUCCGUAGGUGAACCUGCGGAAGGAUCAUUACCGAGUGUAGGGUUCCUAGCGAGCCCAACCUCCCACCCGUGUUUACUGUACCUUAGUUGCUUCGGCGGGCCCGCCAUUCAUGGCCGCCGGGGGCUCUCAGCCCCGGGCCCGCGCCCGCCGGAGACACCACGAACUCUGUCUGAUCUAGUGAAGUCUGAGUUGAUUGUAUCGCAAUCAGUUAAAACUUUCAACAAUGGAUCUCUUGGUUCCGGCAUCGAUGAAGAACGCAGCGAAAUGCGAUAACUAGUGUGAAUUGCAGAAUUCCGUGAAUCAUCGAGUCUUUGAACGCACAUUGCGCCCCCUGGUAUUCCGGGGGGCAUGCCUGUCCGAGCGUCAUUGCUGCCCAUCAAGCACGGCUUGUGUGUUGGGUCGUCGUCCCCUCUCCGGGGGGGACGGGCCCCAAAGGCAGCGGCGGCACCGCGUCCGAUCCUCGAGCGUAUGGGGCUUUGUCACCCGCUCUGUAGGCCCGGCCGGCGCUUGCCGAACGCAAAUCAAUCUUUUUCCAGGUUGACCUCGGAUCAGGUAGGGAUACCCGCUGAACUUAAGCA